UUGUUAAUUAGCAUUUUUAGGAAUGCAGAAUCAUUAUAUAUAGAGGAAUAUUUGUAACAAUUUCAAUGACUAAAUAGUGGUAGAUGAAAUCUACAGAAUUAAAAAGUCGGAACUGAGAAAAUAAAACUAAGCUUACUUACUAUACCAUACUUGAAGUAGAUGAAUAAAAACCUGCAAGCACCCAGGCACUCAAACAUUUCAGCUAGUGGUGGAAACUGCG
This is a non-coding RNA of Schizosaccharomyces pombe (fission yeast), 220 nucleotides long. Lineage: Eukaryota; Fungi; Ascomycota; Schizosaccharomycetes; Schizosaccharomycetales; Schizosaccharomycetaceae. The record is from the annotation of a GenBank genome assembly.